UACGAAGGGGGCUAGCGUUGCUCGGAAUCACUGGGCGUAAAGCGCACGUAGGCGGAUUGCUAAGUCAGGGGUGAAAUCCUGGAGCUCAACUCCAGAACUGCCUUUGAUACUGGUGAUCUUGAGUCCGGGAGAGGUGAGUGGAACUGCGAGUGUAGAGGUGAAAUUCGUAGAUAUUCGCAAGAACACCAGUGGCGAAGGCGGACUCACUGGCCCGGUACUGGACGCUGAGGUGCG
RNAcentral lists this ribosomal RNA (234 nucleotides) under uncultured bacterium. RNAcentral's name for it is "partial 16S ribosomal RNA". It matches the Rfam family "Bacterial small subunit ribosomal RNA", at positions 524 to 755 of the family's 1533-position model. The record is from RNAcentral.